RNAcentral lists this ribosomal RNA (506 nucleotides) under uncultured bacterium. Its description in RNAcentral is "partial 16S ribosomal RNA". It matches the Rfam family "Bacterial small subunit ribosomal RNA", at positions 30 to 523 of the family's 1533-position model. The record is from RNAcentral.
AUUGAACGCUGGCGGCAGGCCUAACACAUGCAAGUCGAACGGUAACAGAAAGCAGCUUGCUGCUUUGCUGACGAGUGGCGGACGGGUGAGUAAUGUCUGGGAAACUGCCUGAUGGAGGGGGAUAACUACUGGAAACGGUAGCUAAUACCGCAUAACGUCGCAAGACCAAAGAGGGGGACCUUCGGGCCUCUUGCCAUCGGAUGUGCCCAGAUGGGAUUAGCUAGUAGGUGGGGUAAUGGCUCACCUAGGCGACGAUCCCUAGCUGGUCUGAGAGGAUGACCAGCCACACUGGAACUGAGACACGGUCCAGACUCCUACGGGAGGCAGCAGUGGGGAAUAUUGCACAAUGGGCGCAAGCCUGAUGCAGCCAUGCCGCGUGUAUGAAGAAGGCCUUCGGGUUGUAAAGUACUUUCAGCGAGGAGGAAGGUGUUGUGGUUAAUACCCUACUUCAUUGACGUUACUCGCAGAAGAAGCACCGGCUAACUCCGUGCCAGCAGCCGCCGCGG